GCGGACGGGUGCCUCAGUAGCGGCGAGUGAAGCGGCACAAGCUCAGAUUUGAAAUCGUGCUUUGCGGCACGAGUUGUAGAUUGCAGGUUGGAGUCUGUGUGGAAGGCGGUGUCCAAGUCCCUUGGAACAGGGCGCCCAGGAGGGUGAGAGCCCCGUGGGAUGCCGGCGGAAGCAGUGAGGCCCUUCUGACGAGUCGAGUUGUUUGGGAAU
Molecule: ribosomal RNA, 210 nt
Filed under: Pichia kudriavzevii
Lineage: Eukaryota; Fungi; Ascomycota; Pichiomycetes; Pichiales; Pichiaceae
Description: partial 26S ribosomal RNA
Rfam family: Eukaryotic large subunit ribosomal RNA
Source: RNAcentral